UACGGAGGGGACUAGCGUUGUUCGGAAUUACUGGGCGUAAAGCGUGCGCAGGCGGUUUUGUAAGCCAGAUGUGAAAUCCCCGGGCUUAACCUGGGAAUGGCAUUUGGGACUGCAAGGCUGGAGUGUGGCAGAGGAGACUGGAAUUCCUGGUGUAGCAGUGAAAUGCGUAGAUAUCAGGAGGAAUACCGAUGGCGAAGGCAGGUCUCUGGGCUGACACUGACGCUCAUGCACGAAAGCGUGGGGAGCAAACAGG
Molecule: ribosomal RNA, 253 nt
Filed under: uncultured bacterium
Lineage: Bacteria
Description: partial 16S ribosomal RNA
Rfam family: Bacterial small subunit ribosomal RNA
Source: RNAcentral